ACACGCUGGACAGGAUACAGUCAGUCUUUACAGCAAUUCCAAUAUUGCAAAUUCCUGAUCUAAUUUUAUAAUGUUAUAAGUCCGCGAAGCAGCUUUUUUAUCUGUAUAUUUAACUAUAUGUAACUAAUGAUGUAAUUGAGCUCAGACACCACAAGGGGGCCUCAUAGCUGCAUUGCUAUAAAACCCUCAGGGAGAGAGAGAAACCAGCCAAUAAGGAGGAAGAGGAUGUUGCUGGUAAGAACCAGUUUGCUUGUGUGGGUGCGAGCAUUAGGUGCUCUAACCCCACACAUCCUGUCUCCUCUCAUUCUAAGAGGCAUCAGCAAAGGAAACUCCAUGCAGUGUCUCCCUGAGUACAGGAUGGACUUUCUGCUUCACAGGACGUGUCCUCUCUGAGGAGCUGACCUCUGGGUAUGAAGAUGUGGAGGACAGUGUGGGAGACCCUUUCUCAGUUAGGAGGCUAAGGUUCAGGGUUGAUGGUGACAGGAGACACAGCAGAGGACUAUGGUGAUGCUGAUGGUACAGCAGAGUCCACGUUUUAUCUGGUGAGAGAGCUUUGACCACACUGCCCCCUGGGGAGGGCCCCCCUGAACCCGACCAGGCUGACUAUGAUGAUGUGGGGGAGGAGGGACUGACAGUCCUGCCUGAGGAAGCUCCUGUCCAAAAGUUCUCAUAAAAGGGGAAAAUCAGCUUCAUACAAAGACUGUCACCAGUUCAGUUUCAUUUUUUUGUAAUUGGCAUUAUACUUUAUUAAAGGCCAUAUUGUUGGAUUAAUAUUCAUGGAGAAUUAAAUAAACAGAUAUUAAAUUCUACUUUUUUAAAUUUGAGUUCAAGGAAACUCAAAAUUGCAGCAAGACUGACCAUAACAAGUUGUUGGAUAGAUUGAUGGCACUCAUCUCUGAACUUUCACUCACACACUAAUCACUCACUCACACACAAAUAUUAGGGGCAAUUCCCCAUGAAUAUUUUAGAUAAUACGUAGGAACUCUAGGAC
This is a long non-coding RNA of Brienomyrus brachyistius, 991 nucleotides long. RefSeq lists it as uncharacterized. The record is from RefSeq and is a predicted model, not a curated record. The transcript has 3 exons. Lineage: Eukaryota; Metazoa; Chordata; Actinopteri; Osteoglossiformes; Mormyridae.